UACGUAGGGGGCUAGCGUUGUCCGGAAUCAUUGGGCGUAAAGCGCGCGUAGGCGGCCAGAUAAGUCCGGUGUGAAAGUCACAGGCUCAACCUGUGAAUGCCGCUGGAAACUGUCUGGCUUGAGUCCGGAGGGGGCGAGUGGAAUUCCUGGUGUAGCGGUGAAAUGCGCAGAUAUCAGGAGGAACACCAAUGGCGAAGGCAGCUCGCUGGAACGGUACUGACGCUGAGGCGCGAAAGCGUGGGGAGCGAACAGG
RNAcentral lists this ribosomal RNA (253 nucleotides) under uncultured bacterium. RNAcentral's name for it is "partial 16S ribosomal RNA". It matches the Rfam family "Bacterial small subunit ribosomal RNA", at positions 524 to 776 of the family's 1533-position model. The record is from RNAcentral.